RNAcentral lists this ribosomal RNA (450 nucleotides) under uncultured bacterium. RNAcentral describes it as "bacterial SSU rRNA". It matches the Rfam family "Bacterial small subunit ribosomal RNA", at positions 29 to 524 of the family's 1533-position model. The record is from RNAcentral.
AAUGAACGCUGGCGGCAUGCCUAACACAUGCAAGUCGAACGAAGCCUUCGGGCUUAGUGGCGCACGGGUGCGUAACGCGUGGGAAUCUGCCCUUGGGUUCGGAAUAACAGUUAGAAAUGACUGCUAAUACCGAAUGAUGUCGUAAGACCAAAGAUUUAUCGCCCAGGGAUGAGCCCGCGUAGGAUUAGCUAGUUGGUGUGGUAAAGGCGCACCAAGGCGACGAUCCUUAGCUGGUCUGAGAGGAUGAUCAGCCACACUGGGACUGAGACACGGCCCAGACUCCUACGGGAGGCAGCAGUGGGGAAUAUUGGACAAUGGGCGAAAGCCUGAUCCAGCAAUGCCGCGUGAGUGAUGAAGGCCUUAGGGUUGUAAAGCUCUUUACCCGGGAUGAUAAUGACAGUACCGGGAGAAUAAGCUACCGGCUAACUCCGUGCCAGCAGCCGCGGUAAU